This 499-nucleotide ribosomal RNA is filed under the name uncultured bacterium. RNAcentral describes it as "partial 16S ribosomal RNA". It matches the Rfam family "Bacterial small subunit ribosomal RNA", at positions 899 to 1397 of the family's 1533-position model. The record is from RNAcentral.
ACUCAAAGGAAUAGACGGGGGCCCGCACAAGCGGUGGAGCAUGUGGUUCAAUUCGAAGCAACGCGCAGAACCUUACCUGGGCUUGACAUCUGGGGAACCUCCCGGAAACGGGAGGGUGCCUUCGGGAACCCCAAGACAGGUGCUGCAUGGCUGUCGUCAGCUCGUGUCGUGAGGUGUUGGGUUAAGUCCCGCAACGAGCGCAACCCCUGUCACUAGUUGCCAUCGGGUCAAGCCGGGCACUCUAGUGAGACUGCCGGUGUUAAGCCGGAGGAAGGUGGGGAUGACGUCAAGUCCUCAUGGCCUUUAUGCCCAGGGCUACUCACGUGCUACAAUGGUCGGUACAGAGGGUCGCGAGCCCGCGAGGGGGAGCUAAUCCCAAAAAGCCGGCCUCAGUUCGGAUUGAAGUCUGCAAUUCGACUUCAUGAAGGCGGAAUCGCUAGUAAUCGCGGAUCAGAACGCCGCGGUGAAUACGUUCCCGGGCCUUGCACACACCGCCCGU